ACCGGAAACCCGGGGAGGGAAACGCUUCCUGUUCUCCUGAAAAACACUGCUCUGGAAUAAGAGCACCUCCUUCUCAGCUGAUCUGCAGCCCACAGGCUCAGGGGCCCGUCAUCGGCAAAGACCCGCUGAAGGACUGCCGGGCAAGUCGGCUCCUUGGACGGCCAGCUCCUCGCAAGCCGAGGCUCUGCAGGACAGCGUGGAGCCCAGUGAAGCGUGGAGCCCCGUGAGGCCCGGAGCUCCGGGACAAAGGAGGCUGCAGAUCCCGCGGGCCAGCACCGUGUGCCGAGACGCUCACGAGGCAGCAAAACGCUUGCUGUGUGAAAUAAAUCAGCGCUGUGCUCGAGGCCACGUUAAAUAAACAGCAAAUGAAAAAUAAGACAGAGAGGGGACCAGCCAAGGGGGAAAAACCACAGGACCUACGUAACAAAGGGAGAGGAAGAGGAGACAGUACUGAACACGGCCCAACCAUCAGUCCACAAAAGCAGAACUCUCUCUCAGUCAGCAGUUGAAGCUCCAGUUGCCCUGGUGGAGCUCCUCCGGGCCCUAGAGUCAGGAGCCAGCGCAGCUCCAGUGGUCCCCCUCUGCCUCUGUUUCUUCUGCCCUUGCACAGAUGUGUCGAAACUUCCUGGCAAAAGCUGAAUUCAAAGAGAGCUACUCAGUGCAUAGUUAUGUAUGGAUGUGAGAGUUGGACUAUAAAGAAAGCUGAGUGCAGAAGAAUUGAUGCUUUUGAACUGUGGUGUUGGAGAAGACUCUUGAAAGUCCCUUGGACUGCAAGGAGAGCCAA
Long non-coding RNA from Cervus elaphus (red deer), 784 nucleotides. RefSeq lists it as uncharacterized. The record is from RefSeq and is a predicted model, not a curated record. The transcript has 3 exons. NCBI's taxonomy places the organism in Eukaryota, Metazoa, Chordata, Mammalia, Artiodactyla, Cervidae.